CAGCUGCAUCAUUACAAUAAACACACAUUUGACCAAAAUAAGACUUUUUUUUUUCUUCUUUUUUUUUUGCUGGCUGUGCAGCUCACUCACCUGCGCGCUCCCCCCUUGUUCGUAGAUGUGCAAGUGCGAGAGAUCCCCUACGAUCAUCUCAUCUCCGCGUUCUCUGCAGUGCACCAUCACUGCACCGACAAACGGCGGCACAAUCAACCCUCCAGACAAGGGGAGCUUUUUCGCUGAAGCAGCUGAACUUUGGAUCACUACACCUGCAAUCGAUAAUCAUUGACUUACUUGAAGAUAAUAAUCGAUUACCGAGCUAUCGAUCGAUAUGCACUACACAAAACUGACCACCAGAUGGCGCCAAACCCCCAACAAGGAGUAACAUUGUUAGUGUGUCAAUUAUAAAAAUUGUAGUAACACGGCUCUCUUACGUUUUCAGCUGUCUUAGCCAUUUCAUAUAAACAUGUCUUUAAACUCUUUAAACUAUUCGUUUUUUAUUAUUAUUUGAGGCCUGCCCAACUGAUUUCAUUUACUCAACAGCUCACAUGUACUUAAAACAAUGCUUUUAUCAUCAAAUAGCACAUUUGAUGAUAAGAAUAUUGUAUUUUGGACAGAUACUUUGAAAGAAACACUAGGCUAAAAUUAAACAAAAUGACAACAAAUAACUGAAAGAAAGUGAGAAGAGGUAAAAGAUAAAUAGGUUUUCACACUCCAUGCCCUAGACAGAAUUUCUUACCACACCCAGUACACUCACUAUCUAUUAUAGUCUAUUAUAGUCCUGUUGCCUCACUAACGAGGACACUUUCAGUUUCAGAUACUCAUAUACACACAUGUGACUACACACAGAAAGAUACACACAUAGAAAGAUCACAUUUUAAAUAUAAACACUGAUUUGGGUCCACUUAAAUCUUAGUAGCAGACAGACUCAAAUGUUGCCCCACACGAUUCAAAUUUAUCUUCAGAAAUAUUUACAGUUUUUUAUGUUUUGUGUAUGUACAUAUCUAUCAAUAAUCAUACUUCUAUGUUUGCUGUUAGACUGUUUUAUGUUUGGACAUUGUUAUAAGUGUGAAUUGGUUCUGCUCCACAGCCUUGCUCCAUAUUUGGAUACACAAAACACCAGAGGCUUUUGCCUUGUGUGCAAUACAUUUAUUUUCUUUACUUUAUGAAUGUGCCUAUUAAUGGAUUUUGGACUGGUGAACAUGUAUAAAUAACUUUUUUUUUUCUUAAUGGAAAAGACCAAUUUGUCUGGGUGACCCUAAUCUUUUGUACGGAAGUGUUUUAAUGAAUAUGUAUUUUCUUAAGUAUUUUUAUUUUGUUUGUGUCUACUUCAUGUUAACUUUUAUUUCUUUGUAAAUUGUAUCUUUAGAUGGGCUUCGAUAAGCAUGACGCUUCAGCCUAGUCCAUUAGAUUCAGGAUUGUAAUCAAGCUACCUUCUCUAUAACAUCUGCAGAAAAAUAUAAAAUAACAAAUAUAAUGCACAAUAUUUUACAUCUAGAUGAGGAGUAUUGGAGUGAAAUACAUCUAAAAAUAUUUAUUUUUGGCAAAAUGGAAGUAUAGAACAGCCAGAGGACCAACCAUCAUAUUUUGUUAGUUAAGUUAAUUUAAAAAAAGGUAAAACAGUGAGCAAACAAAAAACCAGGGGCUUGUGUUCCUCAUAAGAAGAAAGACUAAAACAAAAGUCACCUUAUAAAAGCAGAUUCAGCUCAACACAAAGUCUAUGACAACAGAACAGACAAAAACUGGCUCUCAAAUUACAGGAUAAGAAAAGUGUUUGAAUCUCUGAGUUUAACCGGUUAUUUAGGUCAAAGAGGACACUCAAAACAACAGAUUUUUAUCAAAACCGGUUAAAAACAUCACACAUAAUCUGUUUUAAUAAAUGACUGACUGACUCA
Molecule: long non-coding RNA, 1889 nt
Organism: Oryzias latipes (Japanese medaka)
Lineage: Eukaryota; Metazoa; Chordata; Actinopteri; Beloniformes; Adrianichthyidae
Source: RefSeq, a predicted model, not a curated record